GAUGAACGCUAGCUACAGGCUUAACACAUGCAAGUCGAGGGGAAACGAUAUUGGAAGCUUGCUUCCGAUAGGCGUCGACCGGCGCACGGGUGAGUAACGCGUAUCCAACCUGCCCACCACUUGGGAAUAACCUUGCGAAAGUAAGACUAAUGCCCAAUGAUAUCUCUAGAAGACAUCUGAAAGAGAUUAAAGAUUUAUCGGUGAUGGAUGGGGAUGCGUCUGAUUAGCUUGUUGGCGGGGUAACGGCCAACCAAGGCGACGAUCAGUAGGGGUUAUGAGAGGAAGGGCCCCCACAUUGGAACUGAGACACGGUCCAAACUCCUACGGGAGGCAGCAGUGAGGAAUAUUGGUCAAUGGGCGAGAGCCUGAACCAGCCAAGUAGCGUGCAGGAUGACGGCCCUAUGGGUUGUAAACUGCUUUUAUAAGGGAAUAAAGUGAGCCUCGUGAGGCUUUUUGCAUGUACCUUAUGAAUAAGGACCGGCUAAUUCCGUGCCAGCCGCCGCAGUAA
RNAcentral lists this ribosomal RNA (508 nucleotides) under uncultured bacterium. Its description in RNAcentral is "partial 16S ribosomal RNA". It matches the Rfam family "Bacterial small subunit ribosomal RNA", at positions 28 to 523 of the family's 1533-position model. The record is from RNAcentral.